GGCCCUAUCGUCUAACGGUUAGGACACCACUCUUUCAAGGUGGGAACCCGGGUUCGAUUCCCGGUAGGGUCA
This 72-nucleotide transfer RNA is filed under the name Candidatus Vogelbacteria bacterium RIFOXYD1_FULL_51_18. RNAcentral's name for it is "tRNA-Glu". It matches the Rfam family "tRNA". Rfam says of the family: Transfer RNA (tRNA) molecules are approximately 80 nucleotides in length. Their secondary structure includes four short double-helical elements and three loops (D, anti-codon, and T loops). RNAcentral also lists the same sequence under 1 other name. The record is from RNAcentral. Lineage: Bacteria; Candidatus Vogeliibacteriota.